Molecule: ribosomal RNA, 655 nt
Filed under: Bacillus sp. AS1.06
Lineage: Bacteria; Bacillati; Bacillota; Bacilli; Caryophanales; Bacillaceae
Description: bacterial SSU rRNA
Rfam family: Bacterial small subunit ribosomal RNA
Source: RNAcentral
UAGAGUUUGAUCCUGGCUCAGGAUGAACGCUGGCGGCGUGCCUAAUACAUGCAAGUCGAGCGAACUGAUUAGAAGCUUGCUUCUAUGACGUUAGCGGCGGACGGGUGAGUAACACGUGGGCAACCUGCCUGUAAGACUGGGAUAACUUCGGGAAACCGAAGCUAAUACCGGAUAGGAUCUUCUCCUUCAUGGGAGAUGAUUGAAAGAUGGUUUCGGCUAUCACUUACAGAUGGGCCCGCGGUGCAUUAGCUAGUUGGUGAGGUAACGGCUCACCAAGGCAACGAUGCAUAGCCGACCUGAGAGGGUGAUCGGCCACACUGGGACUGAGACACGGCCCAGACUCCUACGGGAGGCAGCAGUAGGGAAUCUUCCGCAAUGGACGAAAGUCUGACGGAGCAACGCCGCGUGAGUGAUGAAGGCUUUCGNGUCGUAAAACUCUGUUGUUAGGGAAGAACAAGUACNAGAGUAACUGCUNGUACCUUGACGGUACCUAACCAGAAAGCCACGGCUAACUACGUGCCAGCAGCCGCGGUAAUACGUAGGUGGCAAGCGUUAUCCGGAAUUAUUGGGCGUAAAGCGCGCGCAGGCGGUUUCUUAAGUCUGAUGUGAAAGCCCACGGCUCAACCGUGGAGGGUCAUUGGAAACUGGGGAACUU